This 541-nucleotide long non-coding RNA is filed under the name Brassica rapa (field mustard). Its description in RNAcentral is "long non-coding RNA (BRAP_LNC001324)". The record is from RNAcentral. Lineage: Eukaryota; Viridiplantae; Streptophyta; Magnoliopsida; Brassicales; Brassicaceae.
UAACACUAAAAUGUAAAUCAUAUCUUUUAAAAUUUUGCGAUGGUAUCCGUUAUAUAUUUAUAAAAUAAAAAUCUACCCGCACGGAUGUGCGGGUGAAAAAUCUAGUACCAAUUAUAAGGAAUCCAUUUUGAAAUGAAGAACGUAAAAAGUAACUGUAUGAGAGAAAUGCAUUUAAGAAAUAAAAAAUGUAGAUAUUACUCGUUCCGUUCAUUAACGAUAAUUUUUUAAGAGAAUGAACACAAUUAACCGGAACCAAAAAACUGAACUGUACCUAAUCGGAGAACGAAACUAAAACCGGACCAAAUUUCUUAAAUAUCCGAUCGGAUCUUAUAUUUCUGGAGACAGAAAUAAAAAAAAUAAACUAAAGCCUAACCAAAAAUAACCAUUUGGUAUGUUUUAUAUAUAACCAUUUCAUAUGAACCAAAUUUCUUAAAUAUCCGAUAGGAUCUUAUAUUUCUGGAACCAAAAAUAGAAAAAACAAACUAAAGCCUAACAGAAAAUAACCAUUUGGUAUGUUUUAUAUAUAACCAUUUCAUAUGAA